GGCGGCCGUACUUUCGGCGGGCGGAGCGCCACGACCGGUUCGUCGGCGGCGAGAAACUCCCGGGCAAGGUGACCUUCGUCUCGGCGCAGGAGCAUACAGGCCCGGUGAGCGUCGGCCCGUCGGUGGACCGAGGAAGACCGUCGCGGAGCGGCGUCGACCGUUCGUCGUGUGUUGGCGUUCGACUCGGGGGGACUGGUUCCAGUGCCCUCGGACCGCGCCGGCGCAGCGGCGGGCGCGCACGGCGUCGCGCCUGGGGUCGGUGGCGAAACGGCCGGCAACCUGUCCGACCCGUCUUGAAACACGGACCAAGGAGUCUAACAUGUGCGCGAGUCGUUGGGCGCUACGAAACCCGAAGGCCCAAUGAAAGUGAAGGCCCGGUCUCCGGCCGGCCUGGGUGGGAUCCCGGCGGUCUCGGCCGUCGGGCGCACCACCGGCCCGUCUCGUUCGUUACGUCGAGGAGGCGGAGCAAGAGCGUACACGUUGGGACCCGAAAGAUGGUGAACUAUGCCCGAGUAGGACGAAGCCAGAGGAAACUCUGGUGGAGGUCCGCAGCGAUUCUGACGUGCAAAUCGAUCGUCAAACUUGGGUAUAGGGGCGAAAGACUAAUCGAACCAUCUAGUAGCUGGUUCCUGUCGAAGUUUCCCUCAGGAUAGCUGGCGGUCGUCGUGAGCAGUUUUAUCCGGUAAAGCGAAUGACUGGAGGCCUUGGG
Molecule: ribosomal RNA, 709 nt
Filed under: Eiseniella tetraedra
Lineage: Eukaryota; Metazoa; Annelida; Clitellata; Crassiclitellata; Lumbricidae
Description: partial large subunit ribosomal RNA
Rfam family: Eukaryotic large subunit ribosomal RNA (bases 305-709)
Source: RNAcentral